This is a transfer RNA of Coprinopsis cinerea okayama7#130, 90 nucleotides long. It matches the Rfam family "tRNA". From Rfam's summary of the family: Transfer RNA (tRNA) molecules are approximately 80 nucleotides in length. The record is from Rfam. NCBI's taxonomy places the organism in Eukaryota, Fungi, Basidiomycota, Agaricomycetes, Agaricales, Psathyrellaceae.
UCGGAUAUGGUGUAGCGGCUAACAUUGCUGCCUCUCAUCUCAUCGGGAGUCUGUCCGCAGCAGCUCGGGGUUCGAUUCCCCGUAUCCGAA